This 27-nucleotide small RNA is filed under the name Bombyx mori (domestic silkworm). RNAcentral describes it as "ovarian small RNA-21182". Lineage: Eukaryota; Metazoa; Arthropoda; Insecta; Lepidoptera; Bombycidae. The record is from RNAcentral.
UACGUGAUACGGGAACGGACAUACGUC